This is a non-coding RNA of Cajanus cajan (pigeon pea), 320 nucleotides long. Lineage: Eukaryota; Viridiplantae; Streptophyta; Magnoliopsida; Fabales; Fabaceae. The record is from RefSeq and is a predicted model, not a curated record.
CUCGCUCGUACCGUUCACCAAUGGUUAGCCAAUAAACGAAGCGUUUCUCUUCAUGUCUCUCUUGAUGUGCUUCUAUCGUUUCUUUCAAUGAGAGACAUUUGAUUUGGGUUUAUAAGAUUAGUGGAGUUCUUCUUAAUAAUAAUGUGCAAUUGUCUAAUUGCAAGAUUGUUGGACUUGCAACUCCUCGAUUUCUUUCAAUUCCUUGGGCUCAAGAUAAUGAUAGUACAAGGAAGUUUUAUAAUUGUGAGGUUAGUAUCUUUUCUGACUAAAUUGAGAUUUAACCCAUAAACUUUGUUAUAAAAUUUUUGAAAUGUUUCCUC